RNAcentral lists this ribosomal RNA (492 nucleotides) under uncultured bacterium. RNAcentral's name for it is "partial 16S ribosomal RNA". It matches the Rfam family "Bacterial small subunit ribosomal RNA", at positions 28 to 507 of the family's 1533-position model. The record is from RNAcentral.
GAUGAACGCUAGCUACAGGCUUAACACAUGCAAGUCGAGGGGAAACGGCAUCGAAAGCUUGCUUUUGAUGGGCGUCGACCGGCGCACGGGUGAGUAACGCGUAUCCAACCUGCCCAUCACUUGGGAAUAACCUUGCGAAAGUAAGACUAAUGCCCAAUGACAUCCCACGAAGGCAUCCGAAUGGGAUUAAAGAUUUAUCGGUGAUGGAUGGGGAUGCGUCUGAUUAGCUUGUUGGCGGGGUGACGGCCCACCAAGGCAACGAUCAGUAGGGGUUCUGAGAGGAAGGUCCCCCACAUUGGAACUGAGACACUGUCCAAACUCCUACGGGAGGCAGCAGUGAGGAAUAUUGGUCAAUGGGCGAGAGCCUGAACCAGCCAAGUAGCGUGCAGGAGGACGGCCCUAUGGGUUGUAAACUGCUUUUAUAAGGGAAUAAAGUGGGUCACGUGUGACUUUUUGCAUGUACCUUAUGAAUAAGGACCGGCUAAUUCCGUG